GUGCGAGUCCGACCGCACCGCGACCGAAACAGAUCCAGCCCUUGCUGCUCCUCGUCUCCGUCUUCUUGGCCGGGAAGAAAGGAAGGGAAAGGAAGCGGCGGAGACCAGGCGAUGGCGGCGCCGCUGGAGUUCCUGGAGGCGCAGGGCUCGACCCGGCCGGAGCUGGCGGAGUGGUACGCCGCCCUCGCCGACCUCUACCAGCGGAAGCUCUGGCACCAACUCACCCUCAAGCUUGACCAGUUCCUCGCCCUCGCCGUCGUCCAGGCGGGUGAUGCUCUGAUUCAGCUGUAUACUCAUUUCAUCUCUGAUUUCGAGAGCAAGAUCAAUCUUCUUAAAUUUGCUCACUUCGCGGUAGUAGUUUCACGCCAGUAUUCAGAUAAAGAUGCCGGUAUAAGCUAUCUCGAAGGCGUAAUUUCGAAGCUGCGUGAUACCAAGGAAUCACGGGUUGAAGAGCCCAUUCUGUAUGUGAAGAUGCAGAUUGCAAGUUUUCUUCUUGAGAAAGGGAAUCAAAAGGAGUGUAAGAAACUGGUAGACGAGGGGAAAACCACUUUGGAUAGCAUGGACGAUGUUGAUCCUUCAGUACAUUCGACCUAUUAUUGGUUAUGUUCUCAGUACCAUAAAGUGUGUCAAGACUAUUCUGAAUUCUAUAAAAAUGCUCUUCUCUAUCUUGCAUACACAACAGUGGAGUCACUUUCAGAACCAUUCAAACAGAACCUGGCAUUUGACCUCUCACUUGCUGCUUUAUUGGGUGACAACAUAUACAACUUCGGGGAGUUGCUUGCCCAUCCAAUUAUCCACAGCCUUGUGGGAACAUCGGUGGAGUGGAUUUAUCAUAUAUUGCAAGCGUUCAACUCUGGCAAUCUAGCGUCCUACCAGGAACUCUGCAAAGUUCACGCCGCCGCUUUGAGUGCGCAGCCUGCUUUGGUACAGAAGGAGAGGGAACUUCUUGAAAAGAUCAAUAUCCUUUGCUUGAUGGAAAUCAUUUUCAGUCGAGCAUCCCAAGACCGUACAAUCCCGUUGAGCACUAUAGCUGAACAGACCAGGCUCUCAGUUGAAGAUGUGGAGUAUCUACUAAUGAAGAGCCUCUCUGCUCAUCUUAUCGAAGGCAUUAUUGAUGGGGUCGACGGGACUGUCCAUGUUUCAUGGGCGCAACCGAGGGUCCUUGGGAUUGACCAAGUGAAAUCCCUGCGUGACCGGCUUGAUACCUGGGUCGGGAAGGUGCACACUACUUUGCUAUCUGUUGAAGCCGAGACACCCGACCUGGUAGCUUCGUGA
RNAcentral lists this ribosomal RNA (1275 nucleotides) under Triticum aestivum (bread wheat). RNAcentral describes it as "partial small subunit ribosomal RNA". Lineage: Eukaryota; Viridiplantae; Streptophyta; Magnoliopsida; Poales; Poaceae. The record is from RNAcentral.